GACGAACGCUGGCGGCGUGCCUAAUACAUGCAAGUGAAGUUCAGUGGCGGACGGGUGAGUAACACGUGGGUAACCUGCCCUCCUUUUUGGGAUAAGCCUUGGAAACGGGGUCUAAUACCGAAUAAAGGGGGAUGGGCUCGCGGCCUAUCAGCUUGUUGGUGGGGUGAUGGCCUACCAAGGCGGUGACGGGUAGCCGGCCUGGUAGGGUGACCGGCACCAUUGGGACUGAGAGACGGCCCAGACUCCUACGGGAGGCAGCAGUGGGGGAUAUUGCACAAUGGGCGAAAGCCUGAUGCAGCGACGCCGCGUGGGGGAUGAAGGCUUUCGAGUCGUAAAGUUCUUUCGGUACCAUAAGAAAAAGCCCCGGCUAACUACGUGCCAGCAGCCGCGGUAAUAC
Molecule: ribosomal RNA, 397 nt
Filed under: uncultured bacterium
Lineage: Bacteria
Description: partial 16S ribosomal RNA
Rfam family: Bacterial small subunit ribosomal RNA
Source: RNAcentral